RNAcentral lists this ribosomal RNA (495 nucleotides) under uncultured bacterium. RNAcentral's name for it is "partial 16S ribosomal RNA". It matches the Rfam family "Bacterial small subunit ribosomal RNA", at positions 28 to 523 of the family's 1533-position model. The record is from RNAcentral.
GAUGAACGCUAGCGGCAGGCCUAAUACAUGCAAGUCGAGGGGUAGAAGAGGCUUGCUUCUUUGAGACCGGCGCACGGGUGCGUAACGCGUAUGCAACCUACCUUCAUCUGGGGAUAGCCCGGAGAAAUCCGGAUUAAUACCGCAUAAAAUCACAGGAUGGCAUUAUCCAAUGAUCAAACAUUUAUGGGAUGGAGAUGGGCAUGCGUGUCAUUAGCUAGUUGGCGGGGUAACGGCCCACCAAGGCGACGACGACUAGGGGAUCUGAGAGGAUGGCCCCCCACACUGGUACUGAGACACGGACCAGACUCCUACGGGAGGCAGCAGUAAGGAAUAUUGGUCAAUGGAGGCAACUCCGAACCAGCCAUGCCGCGUGCAGGAAGACUGCCCUAUGGGUUGUAAACUGCUUUUAUUCGGGAAUAAACCUUAUUACGUGUAAUAAGCUGAAUGUACCGAAGGAAUAAGGAUCGGCUAACUCCGUGCCAGCAGCCGCAGUAA